GGGGCCGAUCCGGAUUCGACGUGGGUCGCGAAACAACUCAGGGCAUGCCGAGCACCAGUUCGCUCGUUAAACCACUGGAAACACUACAAACGCCAACGACGAGCGUUUCGCUCUCGCCGCUUAAGCGGUGAGCCGCUGCACUGAUCUGUCCUUGGGUCAGGUGGAGGAAGGCAACUUCCUAGGGGGGUAACCCUCGAACCACAGCAGCGACAUUCACAAGGAACCGGUCUGCGCUGGGGUCACACGGCUCAGAUUUAAAUUACGUGAAU
Molecule: transfer-messenger RNA, 269 nt
Filed under: Achromobacter sp.
Lineage: Bacteria; Pseudomonadati; Pseudomonadota; Betaproteobacteria; Burkholderiales; Alcaligenaceae
Description: partial transfer-messenger RNA
Rfam family: transfer-messenger RNA
About the family: Bacterial tmRNA, also known as 10Sa RNA or SsrA, is named for its dual tRNA and mRNA-like properties. Its role is to liberate the mRNA from a stalled ribosome.
Source: RNAcentral